GCUCGACCUCAGAUCAGGUAGGAAUACCCGCUGAACUUAAGCAUAUCAAUAAGCGGAGGAAAAGAAACCAACAGGGAUUGCCUCAGUAGCGGCGAGUGAAGCGGCAAGAGCUCAGAUUUGAAAUCGUGUUUCGGCACGAGUUGUAGAGUGUAGGCGGGAGUCUCUGUGGAGCGCGGUGUCCAAGUCCCCUUGGAACACGGGUGCCUGAGAGGGUGAGAGCCCCCGUGGGGUGCUGCGCGAAGCUUUAGCCCCGUGAAUGGGGU
RNAcentral lists this ribosomal RNA (263 nucleotides) under [Candida] sp. YM-2006a. RNAcentral describes it as "Candida sp. YM-2006a partial 26S rRNA". It matches the Rfam family "Eukaryotic large subunit ribosomal RNA", at positions 1 to 270 of the family's 3401-position model. Lineage: Eukaryota; Fungi; Ascomycota; Saccharomycetes; Saccharomycetales. The record is from RNAcentral.